CAACUUUCAGCAACGGAUCUCUAGGCUCUCGCAUCGAUGAAGAACGCAGCGAAAUGCGAUAAGUAAUGUGAAUUGCAGAAUUCAGUGAAUCAUCGAAUCUUUGAACGCACCUUGCGCUCCUUGGUAUUCCGAGGAGCAUGCCUGUUUGAGUGUCAUUAAU
Molecule: ribosomal RNA, 160 nt
Filed under: uncultured Cortinarius
Lineage: Eukaryota; Fungi; Basidiomycota; Agaricomycetes; Agaricales; Cortinariaceae
Description: 5.8S ribosomal RNA
Rfam family: 5.8S ribosomal RNA
About the family: 5.8S ribosomal RNA (5.8S rRNA) is a component of the large subunit of the eukaryotic ribosome. It is transcribed by RNA polymerase I as part of the 45S precursor that also contains 18S and 28S rRNA.
Source: RNAcentral